GCGGGUGUAGCUCAGUGGUAGAGCUCCAGCCUUCCAAGCUGGCUAUGUGGGUUCGAUUCCCAUCACCCGCU
This 71-nucleotide transfer RNA is filed under the name Clostridia bacterium. RNAcentral's name for it is "tRNA-Gly". It matches the Rfam family "tRNA". From Rfam's summary of the family: Transfer RNA (tRNA) molecules are approximately 80 nucleotides in length. Their secondary structure includes four short double-helical elements and three loops (D, anti-codon, and T loops). The record is from RNAcentral. RNAcentral also lists the same sequence under 2 other names. Lineage: Bacteria; Bacillati; Bacillota; Clostridia.